AUGUAUACUCUAAAUUAUAUAUUUUUACAUUUCUGUUUUAAUGUUUUUUAAUAGAAUAAUUUAUUUAUUUAAAAGAAGUUAAACACAUAUAAUAUUAUAGUAAUUGAAUAUGUUGUCAAGAAAAAAUAAAGAUACACGAACGAUAAAAGAAGGAGUGGUUGGAAAAUAUGUUAAAAAAGACAAGCCACCCGAAAUACCAAGUAUGUAAUAAUUUAUGAUUAUAAUAUAUAUGUAAUAUCUUUUAGAUUAUUGAGAGUACAUUCACCCAUUUUUAAAUAAGUACGCUUCCCUAUAUAUUGAUAUAUAUAUUUAAAAUUAUAGUAAUUAAAAUGAGUAAAGCCCGCCCCAUAUAUUAUGAUCUGACCUACUGACUAAAUUAUAUGGUGGCAAUUUGUACACACCAUAUUUUCAUCAAGCAUUUAUGUAUGUUAUAAAUAGAUGAGUAUACAUAUAUAUAUAAUAUAUAAAAUGAAGAUGAUAUUUAGUGCACUAAAUAUUAUAAUCUUCAAUAUUUGCACUACUUCCAAAUGUUAUAACUUUUAGCUAACACUAUAAUUAUAAUUAUACAGAUUAUUAUAUGUUAUAGAUUUGCUAUCUACUUAUGCAAAAUGCAAUAGUUUGGGGCAAUCAAUUUUUGAAGAUAGAAUGUUAGAUAAAAAAGACAUAUUUACAGAAUUUUAAUGAUCAGAAAGGCUUGCUAGAGAUAAAAAAUGAUUUAUGUUUUUAGGAAUUUAAAUAAAAUCCUUUAACUAUGACCAAUGCCUCAAGUAUAAUUUGCCUUAGUAGAAUCGCUAAUAUCUUACGGCAUUAUUAGAUGGGUGGGGGGUGCAUUUAACAAUACAAUAUCCCAACUACAAACUAGUCAAAAUAAAAUAUUUAAGUCCAAAGAUAUUCAACUAACGAUCUAUUUAUUUAACUCAAAGUACUAGCUGUAAAAAAAAUAUAUUUGAAAAUAACUACCAUUUAUAUAAAACUCAUAGUUUACUACGGCCCAUAUCACAUGAUAUAUUAACACUGAAUACCCUAAAAACAAUUUUCAAUAAAACAAUUUAAAAAAAUAACUGCUAGUAGACAUUUUGAUAUACUCUGUGCUAAAUUAUACAACACUAUACCACCUUACUCUAUGAAUCUCCCGACUAAUUGAUAAUAGAUUUUUAUAAUAUAUAUGUUAAAUAUUAAUUGUUUAAUUUAAUUUAAAAUUUAAAAUUAUUUUCUAUAUACAUAAUACUUUUUAAUUUUGUAAUUUCACUAUUAAUUAUUGUAUACUUAUGUACUUAUAGUGUUAUUUAAAACUCCUGGGUCACCAUAC
Molecule: non-coding RNA, 1309 nt
Organism: Cinara cedri
Lineage: Eukaryota; Metazoa; Arthropoda; Insecta; Hemiptera; Aphididae
Source: the annotation of a GenBank genome assembly